This 497-nucleotide ribosomal RNA is filed under the name uncultured bacterium. Its description in RNAcentral is "partial 16S ribosomal RNA". It matches the Rfam family "Bacterial small subunit ribosomal RNA", at positions 28 to 507 of the family's 1533-position model. The record is from RNAcentral.
GAUGAACGCUGGCGGCGUGCCUAAUACAUGCAAGUCGAGCGAACAGACGAGGAGCUUGCUCCUCUGACGUUAGCGGCGGACGGGUGAGUAACACGUGGAUAACCUACCUAUAAGACUGGGAUAACUUCGGGAAACCGGAGCUAAUACCGGAUAAUAUAUUGAACCGCAUGGUUCAAUAGUGAAAGACGGUUUUGCUGUCACUUAUAGAUGGAUCCGCGCCGCAUUAGCUAGUUGGUAAGGUAACGGCUUACCAAGGCAACGAUGCGUAGCCGACCUGAGAGGGUGAUCGGCCACACUGGAACUGAGACACGGUCCAGACUCCUACGGGAGGCAGCAGUAGGGAAUCUUCCGCGCUGGGCGCACGCCUGGCGGCGCCCCGCCGCGUGCGUGAUGAAGGUCUUCGGAUCGUAAAACUCUGUUAUUAGGGAAGAACAAAUGUGUACGUCACUCUGCACGUCUUGACGGUACCUAAUCAGAAAGCCACGGCUCACUACGUG